AUUCUCGCUGCAGCAGCACAGAAACUACAUUUGGAAUGAUACAGAGAAGAUCCAGCAUGGCCUCUGCCAAAGGAGUCUGAAAACAAGCAGGAGCAGCUAUCUAAUUUC
This 108-nucleotide small nuclear RNA is filed under the name Heterocephalus glaber (naked mole-rat). Lineage: Eukaryota; Metazoa; Chordata; Mammalia; Rodentia; Bathyergidae. The record is from RNAcentral.